This 630-nucleotide ribosomal RNA is filed under the name uncultured Porphyromonadaceae bacterium. Its description in RNAcentral is "bacterial SSU rRNA". It matches the Rfam family "Bacterial small subunit ribosomal RNA", at positions 88 to 715 of the family's 1533-position model. The record is from RNAcentral. Lineage: Bacteria; Pseudomonadati; Bacteroidota; Bacteroidia; Bacteroidales; Porphyromonadaceae.
GUGGCGACCGGCGCACGGGUGAGUAACGCGUAUGCAACCUUCCUAUCAGAGGGGAAUAACCCGGCGAAAGUCGGACUACAUACCGCAUAAAACAGGGACACCGCAUGGUGAUAUUUGUUAAAGAAAUUCGCUGAUAGAUGGGCAUGCGUUCCAUUAGGUAGUUGGUGAGGUAACGGCUCACCAAGCCGACGAUGGAUAGGGGAACUGAGAGGUUGGUCCCCCACACUGGUACUGAGACACGGACCAGACUCCUACGGGAGGCAGCAGUGAGGAAUAUUGGUCAAUGGGCGAGAGCCUGAACCAGCCAAGUCGCGUGAAGGAAGAAGGAUCUAUGGUUCGUAAACUUCUUUCGCAGGGGAAUAAAGUGCAGGACGUGUCCUGUUUUGUAUGUACCCUGAGAAUAAGGAUCGGCUAACUCCGUGCCAGCAGCCGCGGUAAUACGGAGGAUCCGAGCGUUAUCCGGAUUUAUUGGGUUUAAAGGGUGCGUAGGUGGUUUGAUAAGUCAGCGGUGAAAGUUUGCAGCUUAACUGUAAAAAUGCCGUUGAAACUGUCGGACUUGAGUGUAAAUGAGGUAGGCGGAAUGCGUGGUGUAGCGGUGAAAUGCUUAGAUAUCACGAAGAACUCCGAUUG